GUUCAAUUGCCCCUGCUGAUUUGGAAUAGGCUCUUAUGUAUACAGUGCUAGUGCUGGCCAGCCUUUUUAGUCUAGGAGACAAACAGGAACCUUGUUUUGGGACGUUGCUCCAAUAAGCUGCACACUCGGAAAUACCAGCAGCUGGAGGGUGCCACAGUGGAACACUGGAGACCUCACACUAUAUGAAGACCUGCUUUUGCCAAGACGCACAGCCAUCGCUUAGGUGCAACAUACAUACUGGCUGGUGCUCUGUAUGUUCCGUUAAAGCUCAUCUCCAUUCUGACACUGAGCGUAUACCCACAGAUUAAUGAGCUUCAGUACCCAAAAAUUAACCCUGUUGAAACAGAAGAGGAUGGGACAUUCACUUUAAAUUUGUUUGCUGUCACAACACAUUGGCCCCAAACUCCUAGGCCACCCAGACCAGACUUACAGGAGCCAACAAGACAAUCAGGUGAUGGGGGAUAUGGCUGCUUCUCUUGGCUUCUUACUCCAUUGUCCCAACCUGAUUCCCCUGCUGAACACAAUUACAAUAAUGCACAUAAGUCAACGCAGAAUGUGAUAGAAAGAUGUUUUGGGGUGCUGAAAUCUAGGUUUCGUGUCUAGAUAAGUCUGAAGGGCUUUUGUUGUAUAGUCCCUUAAAGGUGACUAGGAUUGUGUUCUGCUGCUGUUUUCUUCAUAACAUGUGUUUGUGCCAACAUCUGCCACAUGUUGAGGAGGAGGAGGCUGAUGUUGGUGAUGAAGAAAACAGUCAGAAAGUAGAGGAGUUAGAAACAUCUGACGACAGUGUGAGUACAGAUGUAGGGAGGCAGGUAAGGCAAGAACUGAUUCUGCGUUAUUUUACAGGUAAGUCUUAAUUUUGCAUAAUCAACAUUGGCUAACCCCAAUCCUAAAAUAUAUGUAGUUAUGAAUUCUGUUUGUGAUGCGUUAUUGUUUGAUAUUAAUCAUGUUGUUUACAGUUAGUCAAUAAAAUUUUCGUCUUACACUGUCAGUCAAUAAGAAAUUAAACAUUACACAUAUUGCAUUUGAGUAAUUUAUUACCUUAAAC
This is a long non-coding RNA of Pseudophryne corroboree (corroboree frog), 1045 nucleotides long. RefSeq lists it as uncharacterized. The record is from RefSeq and is a predicted model, not a curated record. The transcript has 4 exons. NCBI's taxonomy places the organism in Eukaryota, Metazoa, Chordata, Amphibia, Anura, Myobatrachidae.